This 815-nucleotide ribosomal RNA is filed under the name uncultured bacterium. Its description in RNAcentral is "bacterial SSU rRNA". It matches the Rfam family "Bacterial small subunit ribosomal RNA", at positions 8 to 818 of the family's 1533-position model. The record is from RNAcentral.
AGAGUUUGAUCCUGGCUCAGAUUGAACGCUGGCGGAAUGCUUUACACAUGCAAGUCGAACGGCAGCACGGACUUCGGUCUGGUGGCGAGUGGCGAACGGGUGAGUAAUAUAUCGGAACGUGCCCAGUCGUGGGGGAUAACGUAGUGAAAAUUACGCUAAUACCGCAUACGAUCUAAGGAUGAAAGCGGGGGAUCGCAAGACCUCGCGCGAUUGGAGCGGCCGAUAUCAGAUUAGGUAGUUGGUGAGGUAAAGGCUCACCAAGCCAACGAUCUGUAGCUGGUCUGAGAGGACGACCAGCCACACUGGAACUGAGACACGGUCCAGACUCCUACGGGAGGCAGCAGUGGGGAAUUUUGGACAAUGGACGCAAGUCUGAUCCAGCCAUUCCGCGUGCAGGACGAAGGCCUUCGGGUUGUAAACUGCUUUUGUACAGAACGAAAAGGUCUCUAUUAAUACUAGGGGCUCAUGACGGUACUGUAAGAAUAAGCACCGGCUAACUACGUGCCAGCAGCCGCGGUAAUACGUAGGGUGCAAGCGUUAAUCGGAAUUACUGGGCGUAAAGCGUGCGCAGGCGGUUAUAUAAGACAGAUGUGAAAUCCCCGGGCUCAACCUGGGAACUGCAUUUGUGACUGUAUAGCUGGAGUGCGGCAGAGGGGGAUGGAAUUCCGCGUGUAGCAGUGAAAUGCGUAGAUAUGCGGAGGAACACCGAUGGCGAAGGCAACCCCCUGGGCCUGCACUGACGCUCAUGCACGAAAGCGUGGGGAGCAAACAGGAUUAGAUACCCUGGUAGUCCACGCCCUAAACGAUGUCAACUG